CAGCACUGCUUCCAGUCACUUCUCCCUCACUUUCUCAGAAGAAAUGGAUGAUAAUUUAUCAGGCCAUUGCACAUUGAUCUAAAAAGUCCAGCUCUUCGUAGAAAGACGAGUCCCUUUUGUGUCUCAGCACCUCUGAUGAGCAGAAACUGCUGUGAACCAGCAAACUUCAGCAUCCAGUUGUAAUGAGGGAAAAAUACUUACACUGUUUGGGAGGAUCAUAUGCAGGCACUAGCACUACUGAAGGACAACAGUAUGAAGAAGAUACAAAAUAAAUGUGAG
Molecule: long non-coding RNA, 279 nt
Organism: Manacus vitellinus (golden-collared manakin)
Lineage: Eukaryota; Metazoa; Chordata; Aves; Passeriformes; Pipridae
Source: Ensembl